This 366-nucleotide unclassified non-coding RNA is filed under the name uncultured bacterium. RNAcentral describes it as "contains 16S-23S intergenic spacer region". The record is from RNAcentral.
UCCUUCUUGUAUGAAGGCAGUUCGGCUAGAGUGAUACAACUAACCGUAGGGGUUGCGCUCGUUACAGGACUUAACCUAACAUCUCACGACACGAGCUGACGACAGCCAUGCAGCAUCUGUGUAGCACCCUCGAAGGCGGCCGGUGUUUCCACCAGCUUGCAGCUACAUGUCAAACCUGGGUGAGGUUCUUCGCUUUGUAACGAAUUAAACCACACGCUCCACUGCUUGUGCAGGUCCCCGUCAAUUCCUUUGAGUUUUAGCCUUGCGGCCGUACUCCCCAGGCGGGAUGCUUAACGCGUUAGCUUAAGACACCGAAGGGGUCAAUACCCCCGAUAUCUAGCAUCCAUCGUUUACAGCGUAGACUAC